CGUAAGUAAUCAUUAUUUUUAAAAAUUAACUUAACAAUAUUAUGAAUUGGGGUUUUGCUUAUCUUUGUCUAAUAUGUGCUUUAUUUUUUGAUAGACAAUUGAGCUGACUGAGGAAGAAAAGGUCUACCUCAAUCAACUGAGCAAAAUCAACCAGUUUUAUCAGGCAUGGAAUCUUCCCCAGUAUCUUGAGGCUUAUCAUCAACAGCACAGUGUUAGGAACCCAUGGAAUCACAUUAAGACAAAUGGCUAUCAUCUAUUUCCCCUUCUGGAAAAAGAGUACCUGUCCUCCAGUGAGGUGAGGGGCUUUCCUGUGAGGACAGAAACAUGGCAUCCAGAAACAGAGAUUAAGAGGUCACUGAAUAAUAAUGUGACUCCAAGAGUCCUGGUGCCCAUCCUCAAUUUGACAAAAUGGCUGAGAGGAAUCCGACUUGGGGUAAGGACUCAACUUCAUACGUCAAGUUCUAAUUUCCAAAUAUCUUCCUACCAAUGCUGCAUAAGCUAAAUG
This 505-nucleotide long non-coding RNA is filed under the name Felis catus (domestic cat). Its description in RNAcentral is "lncRNA (ENSFCAG00000050027.1)". Lineage: Eukaryota; Metazoa; Chordata; Mammalia; Carnivora; Felidae. The record is from RNAcentral.